GUCGUGAGAUGUUGGGUUAAGUCCCGCAACGAGCGCAACCCUUGACCUGUGUUACCAGCACGUGAAGGUGGGGACUCACAGGUGACUGCCGGCGUAAGUCGGAGGAAGGCGGGGAUGACGUCAAAUCAUCAUGCCCUUUAUGUCCUGGGCUACACACGUGCUACAAUGGGCGGUACAACGGGAAGCGAGACCGCGAGGUGGAGCAAAACCCUGAAAGCCGUUCGUAGUUCGGAUUGCAGGCUGCAACUCGCCUGCAUGAAGCCGGAAUUGCUAGUAAUCGCGGAUCAGCAUGCCGCGGUGAAUCCGUUCCCGGGCCUUGU
This 320-nucleotide ribosomal RNA is filed under the name uncultured bacterium. RNAcentral's name for it is "bacterial SSU rRNA". It matches the Rfam family "Bacterial small subunit ribosomal RNA", at positions 1064 to 1384 of the family's 1533-position model. The record is from RNAcentral.